Molecule: ribosomal RNA, 509 nt
Filed under: uncultured bacterium
Lineage: Bacteria
Description: bacterial SSU rRNA
Rfam family: Bacterial small subunit ribosomal RNA
Source: RNAcentral
GAAUGUUUGGGGGGUUAUGCCGCAACGAGCGCAACCCCUGUGCCUAUGUUGCCAGCGAGUAAUGUCGGGGACUCAUAGGAGGCUGCCGGUGACAAAUCGGAGGAAGGUGGGGAUGAUGUCAAGUCAUCAUGCCCCUUAUGCCUAGGGCUACACACGUGCUACAUUGGCCGGUACAGAGGGCUGCAAACCCGCGAGGGGGAGCGAAUCCCAAAAAGCCGGUCCCGGUUCGGAUUGGAGGCUGAAACUCGCCUCCAUGAAAGCGGAGUUGCUAGUAAUCGCGGAUCAGCAAUGCCGCGGUGAAUACGUUCCCGGGCCUUGUACACACCACCCGUCACACCAUGGAAGCAGGUAACACCCGAAGCCGGUGGCCUAACCCGCAAGGGAGGGAGCCGUAUAANGUGGGAUUGGUGACUGGGGUGAAGUCGUAACAACGGUAGCCGUAGCGGAAGCUGCGGCUGGAUCACCUCCUUUCUAGGGAAUACGGAGCCAUUACUCCGGAGGUCUCCUGG